GAUGAACGCUGGCGGCGUGCCUAAUACAUGCAAGUCGAGCGAACAGACGAGGAGCUUGCUCCUCUGACGUUAGCGGCGGACGGGUGAGUAACACGUGGAUAACCUACCUAUAAGACUGGGAUAACUUCGGGAAACCGGAGCUAAUACCGGAUAAUAUAUUCAACCGCAUGGUUCAAUAGUGAAAGACGGUUUUGCUGUCACUUAUAGCUGGAUCCGCGCCGCAUUAGCUAGUUGGUAAGGUAACGGCUUACCAAGGCAACGAUGCGUAGCCGACCUGAGAGGGUGAUCGGCCACACUGGAACUGAGACACGGUCCAGACUCCUACGGGAGGCAGCAGUAGGGAAUCUUCCGCAAUGGGCGAAAGCUUGACGGAGCAACGCCGCGUGAGUGAUGAAGGUCUUCGGAUCGUAAAACUCUGUUAUUAGGGAAGAACAAAUGUGUAAGUAACUAUGCACGUCUUGACGGUACCUAAUCAGAAAGCCACGGCUAACUACGUG
This 497-nucleotide ribosomal RNA is filed under the name uncultured bacterium. Its description in RNAcentral is "partial 16S ribosomal RNA". It matches the Rfam family "Bacterial small subunit ribosomal RNA", at positions 28 to 507 of the family's 1533-position model. The record is from RNAcentral.